This 319-nucleotide small nuclear RNA is filed under the name Carlito syrichta (Philippine tarsier). RNAcentral's name for it is "7SK RNA (ENSTSYG00000026710.1)". It matches the Rfam family "7SK RNA". Rfam says of the family: 7SK was discovered as an abundant small nuclear RNA in the mid-70s but a possible function has only recently been suggested. Two independent studies have found that 7SK RNA binds the CDK9/cyclin T complex (known as elongation factor P-TEFb). The record is from Rfam by way of RNAcentral. Lineage: Eukaryota; Metazoa; Chordata; Mammalia; Primates; Tarsiidae.
GGAUGUUAGGGCGAUCUGCAUGUGACAUCCGUCACCCUGUUGAUUGCGUGUUGGUUUGGAUGAUCUGGCUGGUCAGGCCAGUGUGUCCUUCUUCCCUCACCACUCUGUAUGGGUCCCCUCACAGGCUGCUCACUUGGUCUAAGAGGAUGACCAUCCUUGCUCGAGGAGGUCCGUUUAAGGAUGUACGAGCAGCUGCACUCCCUGACUAGAGCCUCCAAACACUCUCAAAACCAACACCAAUUGGAUAUGUGACUGCGGGGUGACAUUUGGAAGAUAUGGAACACAGGUACAUGCCUUGCAAGCCACAAGGCCUAAAUUU